AGCAGCCGCGGUAAUUCCAGCUCCAAUAGCGUAUAUUAAAGUUGUUGCAGUUAAAAGCUCGUAGUUGAAUUUCGGGGUUAGUAGGUUGGUCAUGCCUCUGGUAUGUACUGGUCUCACUGAUUCCUCCUUCCUGAUGAGCCGUAAUGCCAUUAAUUUGGUGUUGCGGGGAAUUUGGACUGUUACUUUGAAAAAUUGAGUGUUUAAAGCAAGCUAACGCUUGAAUACAUUAGCAUGGAAUAAUGAAAUAGGACGUUCGAUCCUAUUUUGUUGGUUUCUAGGAUUGACGUAAUGAUUAAUAGGGAUAGUUGGGGGCAUUAGUAUUCAAUUGUCAGAGGUGAAAUUCUUGGAUUUAUUGAAGACUAACUACUGCGAAAGCAUUUGCCAAGGAUGUUUCAUUAAUCAAGAACGAAGUUAGGGAUCGAAGACGAUCAGAUACCGUCGUAGUCUUAACCAUAAACUAUGCCGACUAGGGAUCGGAUGA
RNAcentral lists this ribosomal RNA (481 nucleotides) under uncultured Glomus. RNAcentral's name for it is "SSU rRNA". It matches the Rfam family "Eukaryotic small subunit ribosomal RNA", at positions 569 to 1060 of the family's 1831-position model. The record is from RNAcentral. Lineage: Eukaryota; Fungi; Glomeromycota; Glomeromycetes; Glomerales; Glomeraceae.